AUCCUCAGCAAAGCCAGUUGCGAAGCUGCGGCCUGACGAGUGACAGAGAUGACGAUGUACCAUUCAGCUGCAGACAUGCAGGCUCGGGCUCUAUGAGAACUAAGGUUCAAGUCUGAGUUCUGAGGCCGGGAAGCUCCUACACUGUAGUUCAGUUGCUGAGGUUUUGUCUUUUACUGUCUUAUUGUAAAGCUAAGUGAGGACCCCCAAGACUUGGAGUCUGAAAGUAACCCCAGUGACCCUGUCCCCAAGAUAAUUUUGAUUGGUAAACAAAUUUGAUGUCAACAGCCAACAGCUGGGCAGAAGAGACAUAGGUCUCUGCAACCACUGCCCUUGUGGACUGUACUGGCAGAUACAUAAAAGUUGGGAGACCCACAAAUGUGUGGUUACAUAGGACACAAUCAUUUUUAUUCAAGUGGUUUCAAUCAUUGUCAAAAUGCACUAAAAGACUUCAGAAAGCAAACAUGAAGGGACGGUAUACAACAUGAAACUUGAGGCGCAAAACCCUGAUGGCUGAGAAACAAAAUUAGGCGCUCUUCCCAGCCCACUCUCCUCCCAGACUUCGUAAGGUUUAGAAAAUUUACCAGCCCCAAAUGAAUGCACACCAUGCAUGCUGUGAUAAGGACUCACCGCUACUGGAAGUGUCAUCCAGGCUUAGCAGCCCUCCUAGCCCUCGGUAACUAUGGUAACUGUAGGUCCCAUUGCCAUUGAUGUACAAUACCUCCUGGGAGCCUGGAACAGUAGACGUUGAGUAGGUAGCCUGGGCUGCCUCAGGCUUGCACUGUUUGUCAGCAGGAGUACCUUCAUCCUGCAACGAGACAGCAUUCCAUCAUUGUGACAUCUCUGCACUGCUUCUUUUUGUGAACUCUCAAUGCCAGCCACAUAGUUGCUCUGGCUAAGAAAAUUCCAUAUGGUGAACAUUAAGAUCAUGUGCAUAUUUUCUUCAGCUUUGGUAAAAGCUAAUAAGUAAACAAAUAAAUACAUAAAUACAUAAAUAAUAAAGAGUGAAAGAGCAAGGCAA
Long non-coding RNA from Mastomys coucha (southern multimammate mouse), 1018 nucleotides. RefSeq lists it as uncharacterized. NCBI's taxonomy places the organism in Eukaryota, Metazoa, Chordata, Mammalia, Rodentia, Muridae. The transcript has 4 exons. The record is from RefSeq and is a predicted model, not a curated record.